RNAcentral lists this non-coding RNA (28 nucleotides) under Homo sapiens (human). Lineage: Eukaryota; Metazoa; Chordata; Mammalia; Primates; Hominidae. The record is from RNAcentral.
UGCAAAGGAAACUUGUUGUUAAGGGUGU